CUACGGGAGGCAGCAGUGGGGAAUUUUGGACAAUGGGGGCAACCCUGAUCCAGCCAUGCCGCGUGAGUGAAGAAGGCCUUCGGGUUGUAAAGCUCUUUCAGCCGGGAAGAAAAUGCAUGGGUUAAUACCCUGUGCAGAUGACGGUACCGGAAUAAGAAGCACCGGCUAACUACGUGCCAGCAGCCGCGGUAAUACGUAGGGUGCGAGCGUUAAUCGGAAUUACUGGGCGUAAAGCGUGCGCAGGCGGUUUUGUAAGACAGGCGUGAAAUCCCCGGGCUUAACCUGGGAACUGCGUUUGUGACUGCAAGGCUAGAGUACGGCAGAGGGGGGUGGAAUUCCACGUGUAGCAGUGAAAUGCGUAGAGAUGUGGAGGAACACCAAUGGCGAAGGCAGCCCCCUGGGUCGAUACUGACGCUCAUGCACGAAAGCGUGGGUAGCAAACAGGAUUAGAUACCCUGGUAGG
Molecule: ribosomal RNA, 463 nt
Filed under: uncultured bacterium
Lineage: Bacteria
Description: bacterial SSU rRNA
Rfam family: Bacterial small subunit ribosomal RNA
Source: RNAcentral